AACGUAGGACGCAAGCGUUAUCCGGAGUUACUGGGCGUAAAGGGCGUGCAGGCGGUCUGUUAAGUCUAGGGUGAAAGCUCCCGGCUCAACUGGGAGAGGUCCUUGGAUACUGGCGGACUUGAGGGAGGCAGAGGAAAGUGGAAUUCCCGGUGUAGUGGUGAUAUGCGUAGAUAUCGGGAGGAACACCAGUGGCGAAGGCGGCUUUCUGGGCCUUACCUGACGCUGAGACGCGAAAGCGUGGGGAGCGAACCGG
This 253-nucleotide ribosomal RNA is filed under the name uncultured bacterium. RNAcentral's name for it is "partial 16S ribosomal RNA". It matches the Rfam family "Bacterial small subunit ribosomal RNA", at positions 524 to 776 of the family's 1533-position model. The record is from RNAcentral.